GUCUUCGUGGCUCAGUCGGUAGAGCGUUGGUCUCAUAUCAUUACAUAUGACUCUGUUUACAGAUAGGGAUAUCCAAAGGUCGAGAGUUCGAGCCUCUCCGAGGACA
This is a non-coding RNA of Colletotrichum orbiculare MAFF 240422, 106 nucleotides long. NCBI's taxonomy places the organism in Eukaryota, Fungi, Ascomycota, Sordariomycetes, Glomerellales, Glomerellaceae. The record is from Rfam.